Scophthalmus maximus (turbot) is the source of this 387-nucleotide long non-coding RNA. RefSeq lists it as uncharacterized. Lineage: Eukaryota; Metazoa; Chordata; Actinopteri; Pleuronectiformes; Scophthalmidae. The record is from RefSeq and is a predicted model, not a curated record. The transcript is spliced from 2 exons.
CUAAACCCUUCAGAAGAUGAAUCAAUAAAACAGUGAAGUGGAUCGGCGUCAGCGGUCGAGCGGCAGGUCGUAUGGACUACCUGCGGUGGCGGUCUCCUCUGUACAGGGCCGACAGGGAAUCGAACCUGUGCCACGCUGUUUCCUGCUGCAGGUAGAAAACGCCUGCAGGGAGAACGGAGUCAACUUCUUUAUUCUUUUUCAAUAAUUUCUGUGGAGAAAAGUUGCGGCCUCACGUCUUCUUCACACACAAGAUGAGUUCUCACCUGUUUGUCCUCCGCUGCCGUUUGCCCAUGAUGACCUCUGACCUCUGACCCUCUCAAAAGAAUCACAACAACAUGGAGGAAGUCAAAGUUAUAACAAUGUAAUAAACUAUAGUGACACAAACAA